This is a long non-coding RNA of Apus apus (common swift), 2227 nucleotides long. RefSeq lists it as uncharacterized. The transcript is spliced from 5 exons. NCBI's taxonomy places the organism in Eukaryota, Metazoa, Chordata, Aves, Apodiformes, Apodidae. The record is from RefSeq and is a predicted model, not a curated record.
AUAAAGCAGGAGAACAGAGCCCAGGCAGCAAUACAUAAUCUGGGGGGAAAUAACUGUGUGAAUAAUGAAUGUGCACUGGAAAAAUAAAAUACGUUAUUGUGGUAAGAUAAGUCUAUUAAAGUCUCGCUGCAGAGUCUGUGCUGGUAUCCUGGAGGACUGCUGGCUUCUCCUCUGCUGCACCAUGUGCCCCCUGAGCACCCACCAGUGUGGCCUCGCCAGACCCCCUGACUCACCUGGGAUGGACACCUCGGAUCAUCUUGGCUCCUUUUCCUGCUCUCCUGGAAAGAGGGAGGAUGUGUCCAUCCAUCUCCGCCCAAACGUGCAAGGUCCAGGCUACCCAUUCCUGGCCACUUCUUUCUCCCUGGAAAGUGACACCAUGAGAAGCAGCUCCAGGACCAUCACCUUUCACAGCCUGGUGCAGAAGCCCUGGAUGAGCCAGAAACCAGCACUGGUCACAGCAUGGCACUGAGGCAAGUCCUGGACUCCAGAAUAAUCAACAAUUAAUUAUUAGGAGUGUUCUCUAGCAGUGGCACAGCAGACACCAGUGGCACACCACGGCAGGGCCUGUUCCAGCUGUAUUUGCAAGACACGUAUGCAGAAAUUUCAGGACCAAGAGGAGUUGGAAAUUCCAGGAGAAGAAAGACAAAGAUCCCCUGUUGCCACCUCCCUCCUCGUGCUCCAAACUGGGUAGGUUGCUAAGUGACAGCAUUUCUGCUCUCACUCACUCACUGCCAGAACCUGAGCACUUAAAAACAACGACAUGGUUAUUUAAGGACAUGAUAACUCAUGUUCUUUGGUAGCAACCAACAAGCUGUUCAGAGUUCUACAAGGGCAGGUUGGAUGGGGCUUUGAGCAACCUGGUUGGGUGGGAGGUGUCCCUGCCCAUACAGGAGGAUUAGAACCAGAUGAUCUUUAAGCUGCCUUCUAACCCAAGCCAGGCUGGGAUUCUGUGAUUCUGAGAGGACUGUGGAUAUAUUCACCCAGCCCUGGGAGUGUCCACACACCUGUGCCUCAGUUUGCCAGCCCUGUGCAAGGAAGUUCAGGACUUUGCUGUUGGGACAGUUGUGUGCCACAUCUGGGAGUCCAGCACCAUAGAUCCUGGUUGAUGCUUAAGAGCUGCACCAGAUUUUCCUUGCGAGAAAGGAGCUUGCUCCAGAGGAGCAAGAGGAGCUUGCUCUGACCUUUGCAAGCUCGUCCCUCGCUUGGCUUUACCCAGGCAACUUUCCCAGCAGAUCAGUGGUCCUGUCUCCCUUAUCUCAUGCUGGUGGCUCUGGUCCCCAUCACUGGUGGCAGAGCCUGGAUGCUCUGAGCCCUGGCUGCUUCACCUCUCCUCACUGCUGACCAGCUCCAUUUAUUUUUUAUUCCUCUGCUGGUGGGAUUGCUGUGCUGUGAUCCCAUUUUAAAUCAUUGAUUUACUGCAGAGGCCUCAAUAAGCAAUUUGGAGCAAUUGAAGCUGUUAUCUUGCUCUAGAUCACAUGGUGCUGGGAGGGGGAGCUGGAAAGGGGGAAGGAGAGGAAAAAUAAGAAAGAAAAAUGGCUGGAGCUCCCCACAGCCAGCCUGGAUCUGUCCCACAUUGUCCCACAUUGUGUUAUAUGUCUCUGAGCCCUGUGGAGGUCAGGGGGUGGUUCGUGCGUCAUGGUCCACAUGCUGGGCCAACUAUAGACCUAUCUGGGAGUUUUCUUCCCAGUUCUGGAGUGGUUCAGGGGAAAAAAAAAAAAAAGAAAAUCACUUCAGAGACAUCAUCUGUUCUCCUGCUCCAUUCCAGUCAAAAUCAAAAGGGCUUGGGUUGAUUUCCAGCUUUUUAAGGCAAAAAAUAAAUAAAUGCAAUCAAAGGCCAUGUCAGAGGGGAGACACUUCAGAUCAAAAGAUCGAAGCAGCUCAUUGCAAGCCAAGAAAACAUGUCAGAAGAAAAUAUUUCUUUUUUUUAAUGUGUUUUUUUUUCUUGUCCUUUUUCUCCUGGAGUGUCAUGGUGUGUCAGCCCUGAGCAAUCAGGCAGAGCAGGGACAAAUCUGAGAAGCUGGGAGCACACUCCUGGGAUGUAGGACAGGCUGGUCCUACCUACCGAUCGAGCACUCUGAGCUGUGAAGCUGGAAUCACACAAGGGGCUGGGAGGAAUAAUGAAAAUCCUCCCUGGAGCAGGUGAUUUGUCUGGAGCAGGCUCAGCCUCCAGCCUCUGCAGUCAGCCUGGGACACUCAGGGUGACACCACUGUGGUCCCCAGUGGUCCC